Long non-coding RNA from Sitophilus oryzae (rice weevil), 450 nucleotides. RefSeq lists it as uncharacterized. The record is from RefSeq and is a predicted model, not a curated record. The transcript has 2 exons. Lineage: Eukaryota; Metazoa; Arthropoda; Insecta; Coleoptera; Curculionidae.
ACUUUUUUAUUUAAAAACUAUAAAACAUGGUUCGUCAGUGCCAAAUUUGUAAGAAAUUGGACUAUUUAAGUCCUGGAACAACAUUCCACAGAUUAUGCUGCCAAAGUUUCCUGAAUACAAUUCCGACCACUCUGUAUAUCAAGAUAUCCCCCAUUACGUACUAGUUUUUCUUAAUAAUUUUCUAUACAUUUUCCAACGCCAAGAUGUACCAAGCGCAUACAAAUACAUCAAGCUUCAAACAAGCUUGCACGUUGACAGUAAUACCUACAGUAAUAUUGUAUUAUAUUAAUGUAAUAUUUUUGAACCAAUGUUCAAUAUUACUGUAGUAAUACUGUUUAUACUCAUGCCUUUUAUAUUUGUUUGAAUUUGGUGCAUAUUUCCAUUGAAUAAAGUAUAGUCACCAUUACCAUUAUUAUACUUACUCUAUAAUAAAGACAGUAACGAGUUAAA